RNAcentral lists this ribosomal RNA (253 nucleotides) under uncultured bacterium. RNAcentral describes it as "partial 16S ribosomal RNA". It matches the Rfam family "Bacterial small subunit ribosomal RNA", at positions 524 to 776 of the family's 1533-position model. The record is from RNAcentral.
UACGGAGGGGGCUAGCGUUGUUCGGAAUUAUUGGGCGUAAAGGGCGCGUAGGCGGCUUUUCAAGUGACGGGUGAAAUCCCUCGGCUUAACCGAGGAACUGCCUGUCAGACUGGAAGGCUUGAGACCGGGAGAGGUGAGUGGAAUUCCCAGUGUAGCGGUGAAAUGCGUAGAUAUUGGGAGGAACACCAGUGGCGAAGGCGGCUCACUGGACCGGAACUGACGCUGAGGCGCGAAAGCGUGGGGAGCAAACAGG